This is a long non-coding RNA of Fukomys damarensis (Damara mole-rat), 852 nucleotides long. The record is from Ensembl. NCBI's taxonomy places the organism in Eukaryota, Metazoa, Chordata, Mammalia, Rodentia, Bathyergidae.
UCCCUCCCUCCCUCCCUUCCUCCCUCCUUUGAAAUCUACUUUCCCCGGGGAACGGUUUGUUUCACUGAGAGGCUGGUAAUUCUGUUUGUACAUGAUUUACAUUUUGGCCGUGAAAUGAGUCCGCCUCCCCACACAGAGUCUCUCCUUAGAGAAGAUUCUCCGCCCUCAGCACAGGGAUGAGCUCGAAUUUGUGUAAAGACCGCGAAGGGAUCUCUCUCUCUCUCUCUCUCUCUGUCUCUCUCUCUGUCUCUCUCUCUCUCUCUCUCUCUCCUCUAGCCUCCCUUCCUACCCGCCUGCCUCCCUCCCUGAAACAGGAGGGAAAGGUAGUGAGUAGAGUGGAAAUUGAUUUCUUGCAGACUGAGUCGCCGAAUGAUAGAAGGAAUAAACAUUUGCCCUGGAUAAAAAUGUUCUUGACUUUAUUCCAGCCAUAAUGAUGUCCUAGAACAGAAAUUUUUCCUCAGCUGUCUCAUUUUACCAAGACAGAGGUGAUUUCUCUGUGUCUCAGUGUUUUACAGGAGCUGACAAAUGCUAAGAAGAUUUGAAAUCGAUUUGAAGAUCACUAUGCUGAAUUACAUUCAUUGCAAAUACAACUUUGGCAAUUGUAAUACUUCGGCAGCAUACUUUUCAUUUAAGAUUUGAAUAUGAUGCCCAAGCUUACUUAGCUCACUUGCUCUUCAAAGAGAUACAUUUAAGGAGUCAGGAACCUGGAUUUAAAGUAGAAAAAUGUAACAUUAAAAUUUUUAUUUUAUGCUGAGCAUGAUGUAUGCCUAUCAUCUUAGCAUUCCGAAGGCUGAGGCAGAAAGUUUGCAGUUAGUUCCAGGCCAAUUUGGGCUAUAUCAUGACACCCUGUUU